CAGUCGCCGCGGUAAUACGGAGGGUGCAAGCGUUAAUCGGAAUUACUGGGCGUAAAGGGCUCGCAGGCGGUUUCUUAAGUCUGAUGUGAAAGCCCCCGGCUCAACCGGGGAGGGUCAUUGGAAACUGGGAAACUUGAGUGCAGAAGAGGAGAGUGGAAUUCCACGUGUAGCGGUGAAAUGCGUAGAGAUGUGGAGGAACACCAGUGGCGAAGGCGACUCCCUGGUCUGUAACUGACGCUGAGGAGCGAAAGCGUGGGGAGCGAACAGGAUUAGAUACCCCUGUAGUCCCUGUCUCUUAUAA
This 301-nucleotide ribosomal RNA is filed under the name uncultured bacterium. Its description in RNAcentral is "partial 16S ribosomal RNA". It matches the Rfam family "Bacterial small subunit ribosomal RNA", at positions 509 to 809 of the family's 1533-position model. The record is from RNAcentral.